This 253-nucleotide ribosomal RNA is filed under the name uncultured bacterium. RNAcentral's name for it is "partial 16S ribosomal RNA". It matches the Rfam family "Bacterial small subunit ribosomal RNA", at positions 524 to 776 of the family's 1533-position model. The record is from RNAcentral.
UACGUAGGGCGCAAGCGUUGUCCGGAAUUAUUGGGCGUAAAGAGCUCGUAGGCGGUCUGUUACGUCCGCUGUGAAAACCCAGGGCUUAACUCCGGGCCUGCAGUGGGUACGGGCAGACUAGAGUGCGGUAGGGGAGACUGGAAUUCCUGGUGUAGCGGUGAAAUGCGCAGAUAUCAGGAGGAACACCGGUGGCGAAGGCGGGUCUCUGGGCCGUAACUGACGCUGAGGAGCGAAAGCAUGGGGAGCGAACAGG